GACCAGCGGUCCGGGGGCAUCGGGAUGGGGGGGUAGCCGCGCGGCAGUUUGAACGGCGAAAAAUGGGCAAGAUCGGGGGCCGCUUUGUAGGCUUUGCCGGUUUCGGCCGUAACUCAUGAUCCGGGCCUCCGAUUCCGUUUCCGUUUGGUCCCACAGGACCAGCGGUCCGGGGGCAUCGGGAUGGGGGGGUAGCCGUGCGGCGGUUUGAUCGCCGAAAA
RNAcentral lists this long non-coding RNA (218 nucleotides) under Citrus x clementina. RNAcentral's name for it is "Citrus clementina (C. clementina) long non-coding RNA (CCLE_LNC004765)". The record is from RNAcentral. Lineage: Eukaryota; Viridiplantae; Streptophyta; Magnoliopsida; Sapindales; Rutaceae.